Molecule: ribosomal RNA, 221 nt
Filed under: uncultured bacterium
Lineage: Bacteria
Description: partial 16S ribosomal RNA
Rfam family: Bacterial small subunit ribosomal RNA
Source: RNAcentral
GAUGAACGCUAGCGGCAGGCUUAAUACAUGCAAGUCGAACGGUAAGUUUGGUAGCAAUAUCAAACCAAGAGUGACGUACGGGUGCGUAACACGUAUGCAACCUACCUUGUACAGGAGUAUAGCUCGGGGAAACUCGAAUUAACCCUCCAUGAGAUCAUAGAAUGGCAUCAUUUAGUGAUUAAAACUCAGGUGGUACAAGAUGGGCAUGCGUCUGAUUAGAG